Long non-coding RNA from Trematomus bernacchii (emerald rockcod), 1205 nucleotides. RefSeq lists it as uncharacterized. The transcript has 3 exons. Lineage: Eukaryota; Metazoa; Chordata; Actinopteri; Perciformes; Nototheniidae. The record is from RefSeq and is a predicted model, not a curated record.
AAAUCCGAAUGAACCUGCACUUUGGAAGCCCGACACUUUUAUUUUAUUUUACAGCUGCUUGUGCUCCAUUUAGCAUGUUGCCAGUAUUCUACUAUUGCUAAUUCACUGCUUCGAGACAUGUACCAGUCUGUAGAUAAUAACAAAACAAAUGUAUAACCCAAAAUAGUUGAUAGUUAGCAUCUGAGCUAAUCAAUCCAUGUGUUGUACGUUGCAUUCUUCACCGUCGGAUAAACUUCACACCAAUGAAAAUCAACGUCACUCAAAUGAAACAACCGGGAGGGUAAACAUGUUUUUACUGUUUGUAAUAUUAUUUAAAUAGCUGUACUCAGUGUGGAUUACUUGGAAUGUGUGAAAAAGGUUGCAAAAAACUACUUCGUCAAGUCAUUUGAAACGGUCCACGGGGCUCUUGAACGCAGCACAGUUUACGUCCAACUGAUUGGACCGUGACGACAAGCCCCGCCCCCUCCAGAGAAGCAUUAAAGCCUCCACGGUUGACACAGUUAACAACAAACUUUGACACUACACACGCAAUCAUGAUCAACUAUAAGGCUUUAGACAACGUCCCCCUCCUUCUCUACAUCCUGGCCCUGAAGACCCUGAUCCUGUGUCUGGGGUUCGCCGGGGUGAAGAUCUACCAGAGCAAGAAGGCAGACCAGGCGCUGAAGAAGCAGAGAGACGAGCAGAAGAGGCUAGCCCAGAUCACCCAGGAGCUCAUAGACAACAAGAAGGACGACUGAGACGAUCUGCACACAGGGAACAUGUUUCUGACCUGAGGAACAUGCCAGUUUCUCCACAAACGAGCCGGAUGUCUGACUGUCGGCAGCAGGAGGUCCUCCCUGUGCCUUACAUCACUCUACUGGUUUUCCAUAUGUAAAUGUUUGACCGAACUAUCAGUCAAACAUUGUUUUUUAAUCAAAUUGAAUGACAGCAGGAAAGCUGAGGGACUGUUUUGUCUUUUUAACAGUGAAGAAACACACGGCCCAGCGUCCACUCCUUUCUGGGCCUCAUCUACUGUUUUCUUUAUACUCGUCACACUUGACUUAGCUUCACUUUGUACACCGGGAGUGUUAGUGUAUCAAUGCUAGUCAAAUCUGCUUAUUCUCAAGAAUACAGCAUGGUAUUUAUUCUGAAAUAUUCCUUGUAAAUUGUCUACCUGCAUUGUGCCAAACUUUUAUAUUUGUAUUAAACUGUUUGUUCCACAUGUU